CGACGAGGUAAAUCCAACCGUGGCGAUGGAUUUUCGUUUCGGUAAAAGAGCUGGGCUAUGCGUGGUCUUAUUCAGCCGAAGCGAUGAAUGAAGACGAUGAUCGAAUGACCGAAUCGACAAUUCAACUAUGGGAAUCGCCUAUUCAGUGUGGGAGUCGGCGACUCAACUGUGGGAAUCGCCUACUCAGUGUGGUCUUAUUCAGCCGAAGCGAUGAAUGAAGACGAUGAACGAAUUGACAAUUCAACUGUGGGAAUCGCCUAUUCAGUGUGGGAGUCGGCGACUCAAUGUGGGAAUCGCCUACUCAGUGUGGAUAGGUGAUUUUCUAUGAAAAAUCCAACCUAUAUGGAAGUGAAAGUGCCAGAGCAAAAGGCAUUGACAGCACUUGCUCAAAAAAGCUAAAGGAAUCGGCGACUACCUAUGUGGAGUCGGCGAUUCAACUUAUGGCCUUUUUGAACCAAGCCGUGGACAGCACUCUUAGCUAGCAAAAUAACCCACAAUCGGCGACGUCACUAGGUGGAGUCGGCGAUUGCCUGUGUGAAUCGGAGAUUCCUUG
This 553-nucleotide long non-coding RNA is filed under the name Zostera marina. Its description in RNAcentral is "long non-coding RNA (ZMAR_LNC003316)". The record is from RNAcentral. Lineage: Eukaryota; Viridiplantae; Streptophyta; Magnoliopsida; Alismatales; Zosteraceae.